GUGAGGAAUUUUCCGCAAUGGGCGAAAGCCUGACGGAGCAAUGCCGCGUGAGUGAUGAAGGCCCUAGGGUUGUAAAGCUCUUUCACCGGUGAAGAUAAUGACGGUAACCGGAGAAGAAGCCCCGGCUAACUUCGUGCCAGCAGCCGCGGUAAUACGAAGGGGGCUAGCGUUGUUCGGAUUUACUGGGCGUAAAGCGCACGUAGGCGGAUCGUUAAGUCGGGGGUGAAAUCCUGUAGCUCAACUCCAGAACUGCCUUCGAUACUGGCGAUCUUGAGUCCGGAAGAGGUGAGUGGAACUCCUAGUGUAGAGGUGGAAUUCGUAGAUAUUAGGAAGAACACCAGUGGCGAAGGCGGCUCACUGGUCCGGUACUGACGCUGAGGUGCGAAAGCGUGGGGAGCAAACAGGAUUAGAAACCCCGGUAGUCC
This 425-nucleotide ribosomal RNA is filed under the name uncultured bacterium. RNAcentral's name for it is "partial 16S ribosomal RNA". It matches the Rfam family "Bacterial small subunit ribosomal RNA", at positions 354 to 796 of the family's 1533-position model. The record is from RNAcentral.